CUUCAGCGAGCCGAGCAACAGGGGACGUUCCCGGUCCUGGCCGUACGUGGCGAUCAGCGCCUGCGCCUC
Molecule: antisense RNA, 69 nt
Filed under: Actinoplanes sp. N902-109
Lineage: Bacteria; Bacillati; Actinomycetota; Actinomycetes; Micromonosporales; Micromonosporaceae
Description: ASpks TB sRNA
Rfam family: ASpks TB sRNA
Source: Rfam by way of RNAcentral